RNAcentral lists this ribosomal RNA (492 nucleotides) under uncultured bacterium. Its description in RNAcentral is "partial 16S ribosomal RNA". It matches the Rfam family "Bacterial small subunit ribosomal RNA", at positions 29 to 507 of the family's 1533-position model. The record is from RNAcentral.
AGUGAACGCUGGCGGUAGGCCUAACACAUGCAAGUCGAACGGCAGCACAGUAAGAUUUUGCUCUUACGGGUGGCGAGUGGCGGACGGGUGAGGAAUACAUCGGAAUCUACUUUUUCGUGGGGGAUAACGUAGGGAAACUUACGCUAAUACCGCAUAUGUCCUACGGGUGAAAGCAGUAGAUCUUCGCACCUUUCCCGUUUGUAUGAGCCGAUGUCGGAUUAGCUUGUUGGCUGGGUAAAGGCCCACCAAGGCGACGAUCCGUAGCUGGGCUGAGAGGAUGAUCGGCCACACUGGAACUGAGACACGGUCCAGACUCCUACGGGAGGCAGCAGUGGGGAAUAUUGGGCAAUGGGCGCAAGCCUGAUCCAGCCAUACCGCGUGGGUGAAGAAGGCCUUCGGGUUGUAAAGCCCUUUUGUUGGGGAAGAAAAGCAGCAGGUUAAUACCCCGCUGUUCUGACGGUACCCAAAGAAUAAGCACCGGCUAACUACGUG